This 484-nucleotide ribosomal RNA is filed under the name uncultured bacterium. RNAcentral describes it as "partial 16S ribosomal RNA". It matches the Rfam family "Bacterial small subunit ribosomal RNA", at positions 30 to 507 of the family's 1533-position model. The record is from RNAcentral.
UUGAACGCUGGCGGCAGGCUUAACACAUGCAAGUCGAGCGGAGAUGAGGUGCUUGCACCUUAUCUUAGCGGCGGACGGGUGAGUAAUGCUUAGGAAUCUGCCAUUUAGUGGGGGACAACAUUCCGAAAGGAAUGCUAAUACCGCAUACGUCCUACGGGAGAAAGCAGGGGAUCUUCGGACCUUGCGCUAAAUGAUGAGCCUAAGUCGGAUUAGCUAGUUGGUGGGGUAAAGGCCUACCAAGGCGACGAUCUGUAGCGGGUCUGAGAGGAUGAUCCGCCACACUGGGACUGAGACACGGCCCAGACUCCUACGGGAGGCAGCAGUGGGGAAUAUUGGACAAUGGGGGGAACCCUGAUCCAGCCAUGCCGCGUGUGUGAAGAAGGCCUUAUGGUUGUAAAGCACUUUAAGCGAGGAGGAGGCUACUGAGACUAAUACUCUUGGAUAGUGGACGUUACUCGCAGAAUAAGCACCGGCUAACUCUGUG